ACCAGGCUGGUUGUAUAGACAGGGAGAGGAAAGAAUCCUCAUAGCAGCUUUACGACAAUGGUUAGGGUUUCCAUUUUACUUACAGCACAUGUAACUGUGUCUUUGAGAAAAGAAGUAUUUAUUCAGGUUCUAAACAACAUUCAGAAAUGAACUUUAAAAUCUUUUUUUAAUGUUUAUUUCUACGUGUGUGGGUGUUUCUAUGCACCAUGUGUGUGCAGUGCCAGAGGAGGCCAGGAGAGGGCAUCAGAUUACCCGGAACUGGAGUUGCACCGGGAGCGAGCCAUGAUAAUGGGUGCUGGAAAUCAAACCCAGGUCCUGUGCCAGCCAGGACUCUUAUUGUCGAGCCGUCUGUCUCUCCAGCACCUGAAAUUAAUGGUUUUCAUUUUAACCCAUUCCGAACCAUUGUCUAUUUUCAAAUGACUGUUGUUAGUAAAACACCAAUAGGAUUUUAAUAUAGUUUUUUUAACUGUUUUACAAAAAAAAAAAAGUCUAUUCCUAAUGAUUAAACAGAGGCAGCUCCUUUCAAUU
Molecule: long non-coding RNA, 528 nt
Filed under: Rattus norvegicus (Norway rat)
Lineage: Eukaryota; Metazoa; Chordata; Mammalia; Rodentia; Muridae
Description: long non-coding RNA NONRATT025704
Source: RNAcentral